This 216-nucleotide ribosomal RNA is filed under the name Glomeromycotina sp. RNAcentral describes it as "partial small subunit ribosomal RNA". The stretch from base 40 to 216 matches the Rfam family "Eukaryotic small subunit ribosomal RNA", at positions 686 to 864 of the family's 1831-position model. The record is from RNAcentral. Lineage: Eukaryota; Fungi; Glomeromycota.
GGAUCAGUAGGUUGGUCGUGCCACCGGUACGUACUGGUCUCACUGAUUCCUCCUUCCUGAAGAACCGUAAUGCCAUUAAUUAGGUGUUGCGGGGAAACAGGACUGUUACUUUGAAAAAAUCAGAGUGUUUAAAGCAAGCUAACGCUUGAAUACAUUAGCAUGGAAUAAUGAAAUAGGACGAUCGAUCCUAUUUUGUUGGUUUCUAGGAUUGACGUA